This 380-nucleotide ribosomal RNA is filed under the name uncultured eukaryote. RNAcentral's name for it is "partial 18S ribosomal RNA". It matches the Rfam family "Eukaryotic small subunit ribosomal RNA", at positions 592 to 976 of the family's 1831-position model. The record is from RNAcentral.
CAAUAGCGUAUAUUAAAGUUGUUGCGGUUAAAACGCUCGUAGUUUGAAAUCUGUUAAGGACGAUCUGUCUGCCCUCUGGGUGUGUAUUUGGUCUAGCCUUGGCAUUUCCUUGAACAAGACAACUGCACUUGAUUGUGUGGUGUUGAUUUCAAGGUGUUUACUUUGAGGAAAUCAGAGUGCUUCCAGCAGGUGUGCGCCUUGAAUACAUUAGCAUGGAAUAUCAUUAUAUGGUUUGGAUUUUUACUUGUUUUUUUUUAAAAUUGAAGCAAUGAUAAAUAGGGAUAAUUGGGGGCACUUGUAUUUAAUUGUCAGAGGUGAAAUUCUUGGAUUUGUGAAAGACAAACUACUGCGAAAGCAUUUGCCAAAAAUGUUUUCAUUGA